RNAcentral lists this long non-coding RNA (405 nucleotides) under Panicum hallii. RNAcentral's name for it is "long non-coding RNA (PHAL_LNC000541)". Lineage: Eukaryota; Viridiplantae; Streptophyta; Magnoliopsida; Poales; Poaceae. The record is from RNAcentral.
AAAAACCAAGAAUGACACUCAGCAUAACUCUUUGUAAUGGCCACUGGAACAGGCAAACAGCUACGUGAAGAAGCCAUUACAAACACAAGCAGAGAUCUGCAACAAGCAUCCAUCAGUCCAUCACCGAGCUUAUCUCUGUUCAAAGAGCAUUUGUUCACAGAGCAUUAGAAAAUAGCACAAUAUAGAAGUUAUCUUACUGCAAAACAAGAUCCCUCCACAAUGGACAAUAUAUAUUUAUUAAGUUCACUUGGGACCUAAAAAAGUAAAGAUUAGCUGGUUAAUACAUGCAACUAUCCAGUUUCAAGAAUUAAGCAUGUCAUGAUCACUGCAAAAUGAAAGAUUAGCUGGUUAAUUCUGAAGGGCAGCAAAUUUGACAUAUGAACAUAAGGGGCUGGCGGAGGUUCU